This 242-nucleotide ribosomal RNA is filed under the name uncultured bacterium. RNAcentral describes it as "partial 16S ribosomal RNA". It matches the Rfam family "Bacterial small subunit ribosomal RNA", at positions 524 to 762 of the family's 1533-position model. The record is from RNAcentral.
UACGUAGGGGGCGAGCGUUGUUCGGAUUCAUUGGGCGUAAAGGGUGCGUAGGCGGCGCGGUAAGUCGGGUGUGAAAUUUCGAGGCUUAACUUCGAAACUGCAUUCGAUACUGCCGUGCUUGAGGACUGGAGAGGAGACUGGGAAUUUACGGUGUAGCGGUGAAAAUGCGUAGAUAUCGUAAGGAAGACCAGUGGCGAAGGCGGGGUCUCUGGACAGUUCCUGACGCUGAGGCACGAAAGGCC